AUCUUGCCAAGUGAGAAAUGGCCAUAUUGGGAAAGAGCCACACUAGGUACACCAAUUUGUUUAAGAUUUUUUUUUUUUUUUUUUUUUUUACAGAAAAACCUUGAUAACUGGGAAUGCCAGUUGUACUCUGAGCAGAGGAACGUUUGUGCUUGGCCUGCCUGUGCUUUGGAAGCAGCAGAGUCCUGUUUGCGGGUUGCUGGCUCCUUGGUGUGGAUUUGGGGCACCUGAACGUUCUCCCUGUGUCUGCCCUCAGAUCCGUGAAGUUCCUCCCUGAGCAUCGUUUCACAUUUUCAGUGCAUUUCGGAGAUCUUCAAAAGGUGGUAUGUGUGCAAGCUGUGUGAUGGGAGGCAACUGAUUUUAACCCUGGCCUUUGCAUCCAAACACUCUCUUCAGAUUGGAGUGCGAUCCAGUACAAAAUCUGAGUGGGGCAAUGGAAAGUUAAUAAACUUCCUGUAAUCCAGCUUUGUGGGUUUGUUCACUUUGAAAAAGAAAGAAAGAAAGAAACCCAAGAGGGUACAGGGAAAUUCCACAUCUUCAGCGUUCCUGGAAGCGCGGCUGCUCCCUCUAGUUGUUGCGCUCUGGUCUUUCCCCAACCGCGUCCUCCGGCCGUGCUUCAUGCAGUGCCUAAGGCGGAGAGGAAGGUGGCCGCGGUGGCUCUGCUGCUCCGUUGCUGUGCGGCUGUCCCCGCUAUUCCUCCUCUCCCGUCUCCCUUCUCCCUCUCUGGACAAGUCCCACCAAAAGGCCUCUCUGGACAAGUCCCACCAAAACCCUCCUGCACGGGGCCCCGGUGGCCCACGCUGACAUUUGGGAAGCAGCAAUGCCGCUGCCGCGCGGGACUGGUGCUUCACCGCCGCGCGGGCGGCACGGUGCUGGCCUCCCCUCGCUCAGACGCUGGGCUGCAAGUGAUUUCGAGGAGAAAUAAUAUGCAUUCUUGCUCUGACAUGAUAUAAAAAUGUCUUUAUAUGAGAAAGUAUAUAUUUUAUUGAGGUGUGCUUCGUAUUAGUGUCGCAUAAGACCUUGAUUUCAAUAUAACAAUAUGAAAGUGCACGUGUAAUUUCUCUUCUGAUCACUUUAAUACCAAACCCACUGUACAUGGUAGUAAUGUUAAACUAAUGUGACAGCAUAAUACAAGUAUAAAGUGAUGUAAAACCCAUUAAUAUUAUAGAAAGUUAUUCAUCUUAUGCAAAGGAUUCUAAAGAAUAAUUUGAUUAAAAUUCCUCGUCCCUUUCUCUUGUUCUAGUGGAGCUGCUCUGAUCAAAAGAGAAGGCUGAUGAACAAACUUGAUAUUAGCUAAUUUCCAUACAAUAACUUCUCGUUCUUACCGCUGCUCACGUGCUAGCUUGGAGCGCGGUCGCUGCUGUCAGGGUCUCGGCUGGCUGCCAGGGCUGGUCGGGAGGUGUGGGGAGAGAGGUGUGCAGCCAGGCAGCGGGCUGAGUUUGGGGAGCCUGGUCCGUGUUGGCAUGCACCUUUUCCCUUGUCCAGUUUCAAGGGCACGUAAAACUUGAGCGAAUCAGGCCAUAAACGUUUAAUGAUACGAGUUGUUCCUCAAAUACAACAACGGAGCAAGUUGCAACCGCUAGCAAAAAUGCCUGUGCGCCGAGUGUAAAAGUAGCCUUUUUUCACAGCAGAUUUUGGUUUCGUCCAGUGCGCUGCGUGGCGUCUGUUUUAACUCUCUGCAAACUUUAGGCCUCUGAUAGAACAAAGUAGGAACUGUGUGAUACCAAGACACGCAUUUCCCCAAUUUCAUCAGAUCACUGAAGACAGCCAACGAGAAUAUACGGUGUGUAAAAAGCCAGAUUUCCGGUGACAUGAAAUGAAAAGUUGUAAGACUGUGGUUUUAGGGAUGGCCUUUCUUUUGUGGCUUUUGGUUUAGUAUGUUGUUUGUCAGGUUUUUAUAAGAACAUUAUUGCUUUAAGAAAAAAAUUUAAACCCUGAGAAAUUACUCUCAGU
RNAcentral lists this long non-coding RNA (1950 nucleotides) under Struthio camelus australis. Its description in RNAcentral is "lncRNA (ENSSCUG00000016781.1)". Lineage: Eukaryota; Metazoa; Chordata; Aves; Struthioniformes; Struthionidae. The record is from RNAcentral.